Molecule: non-coding RNA, 27 nt
Filed under: Macaca fascicularis (crab-eating macaque)
Lineage: Eukaryota; Metazoa; Chordata; Mammalia; Primates; Cercopithecidae
Also listed under: 1 other name
Source: RNAcentral
CGUGAGUUCGAGCCUCACACGGGGCAC